UUUUAUCAUCUUUUAAAACCCAAGACAGUUGUGUUCUGUUUAAAUCCACAAGUGGUGUGUGAUGCGUCUGUAUACAACCAACAGUCCUUGUAGUUUUGUAUAUAUUUUUCUUCUUUUUUUCUAGUUACCAGACAUUUUUGGUAAAUAUUAUUUUAAACAUUUGUGUCUUUACAUGUUUUAAUUCUUUUUUUUUUCUUUACUACUUUUAUUUUACUCUUGAGUCACAAGAAAGUGGUCACACCAUUUUGUGGAUAGCAACACAUACAUGAAUGCAAAUCUUACAAGCAAGCUUUACAUCAGAGGUGGGGCAGAGGAGAAGGAGUGGGUCUGAGGAGGGGUGGGGGGGUUGAAAUGGGGAGGGGGGGGCUACAGGACCACUCCAAUGUGUGCUAUUGACUGUAUGCCGUACAUCCUGGACAGGAGAGACCAAACAAACAGAAAACAAAUCAUUAUUGCCUCCAAGGGGUGUGUGGCUUAGGUCUGGGGAUGAAUUAUGACAUCACUGUCUGGCUUUGGUAGUGAGACACUCAACAAUGUUAACACUUUUUCUUUUAAGCUUUUAUGACAGAAAGAGACCCGGGAAUAGUACAAAAACGUGUAUGUGUGUGUGUGUGUGUGUGUGUUUAAGGUUCGGUGAGGGGCGAUUCUGUGUGAGCUCGACCCCUCUGUGUUUUCCACCUGCAGAAUCAAGCACCAGACUCCGAUACUGUACCACACGGUGACAUACAUUCAGGAAGUGGGGGGGGGGGGGGGGGGGGGGGGUGGUGGGGUAAACCAAUCAUGGCAGCGCAUAGAAACGCUAUGGAGAAGAAAAAAAACAUGAACCUAGGUGAAGGCAGAGGAGGGUGUCAACAAGUCUGUCCAAUCAAAAGCACCCAAGAGAGGGUCGCAGAGGAAGAGGCUACUGUGUUAGGUCAUGUGGGGUGUGUGUGUGUGUGAGUGUGAGAGAGCUGAAGAGAACUCUUUUAUAUGUGUGUGUGUGUGUGUGUGUGUGUGUGUGUCAGAGAGAGGGAGAGGGCUGUUGGGACAUGAGGUUCAAAGGGGAGCGUGGUAAAAGUGAGUGAGGAAGCAAAGGCACUCCAAACUAUAGAUACACUAUACAGGACUGGUUAAGGGUACAAUAUAGCUGGCACCUACUGUACAUAUAAGAUUGAACUCUAUGGCUGGAGAAAGCUUCUCAUCUACAGUAUCCAACAAUCAGUUCAUAUUUGCCCUGAAUAUUUUCUUAAUCUUUCUCACUUAUGUUUUGUGUUUUUUUAUAUAUAAUAUUUUUUGUUUGCUUUUAUUCUUUUUAAAUCCCUCACCCUUUUGUUUUUGCUCUUUAAACAGUUCUUAGGUCAGCCUAUUUACAUUUACGGUGAACAUACCCCACAAACAAGUAAAAGAAACAAAUUCAACAAAAAAAUUACAUAAAAACAAAAAUAAAACCA
Clupea harengus (Atlantic herring) is the source of this 1430-nucleotide long non-coding RNA. The record is from Ensembl. NCBI's taxonomy places the organism in Eukaryota, Metazoa, Chordata, Actinopteri, Clupeiformes, Clupeidae.